AGAUGGACCCGCGGCGCAUUAGCUAGUUGGUAAGGUAACGGCUUACCAAGGCAACGAUGCGUAGCCGACCUGAGAGGGUGAUCGGCCACAUUGGAACUGAGACACGGUCCAGACUCCUACGGGAGGCAGCAGUGGGGAAUAUUGCGCAAUGGGGGAAACCCUGACGCAGCAACGCCGCGUGGGUGAUGAAGGUCUUCGGAUUGUAAAGCCCUGUUUUCUGGGACGAUAAUGACGGUACCAGAGGAGGAAGCCACGGCUAACUACGUGCCAGCAGCCGCGGUAAUACGUAGGUGGCGAGCGUUGUCCGGAUUUACUGGGCGUAAAGGGUGCGUAGGCGGAUGUUUAAGUGGGAUGUGAAAUCCCCGGGCUUAACCUGGGGGCUGCAUUCCAAACUGGAUAUCUAGAGUGCAGGAGAGGAAAGCGGAAUUCCUAGUGUAGCGGUGAAAUGCGUAGAGAUUAGGAAGAACCCAGUGGCGAAGGCGGCUUUCUGGACUGUAACUGACGCUGAGGCACGAAAGCGUGGGUAGCAAACAGGAUUAGAUACCCUGGU
This 550-nucleotide ribosomal RNA is filed under the name Clostridium acetobutylicum. RNAcentral describes it as "bacterial SSU rRNA". It matches the Rfam family "Bacterial small subunit ribosomal RNA", at positions 223 to 791 of the family's 1533-position model. The record is from RNAcentral. Lineage: Bacteria; Bacillati; Bacillota; Clostridia; Eubacteriales; Clostridiaceae.